UACGUAGGGUGCGAGCGUUGUCCGGAAUUAUUGGGCGUAAAGAGCUCGUAGGCGGUCUGUCGCGUCGGCUGUGAAAACCUGGGGCUCAACUCCGGGCCUGCAGCCGAUACGGGCAGACUGGAAUUCGGUAGGGGAGACUGGAAUUCCUGGUGUAGCGGUGAAAUGCGCAGAUAUCAGGAAGAACACCCGUGGCGAAGGCGGCUCUCUGGGACGGUACUGACGCUGAGACGCGAAAGCGUGGGGAGCGAACAGG
RNAcentral lists this ribosomal RNA (253 nucleotides) under uncultured bacterium. Its description in RNAcentral is "partial 16S ribosomal RNA". It matches the Rfam family "Bacterial small subunit ribosomal RNA", at positions 524 to 776 of the family's 1533-position model. The record is from RNAcentral.